AAGGAUUUAAGUUAGGCAAACUAUCAGCCUUCAAAGUUGAAAUCAGAAUUACUGUUAUUCUAAGCCUUA
Molecule: transfer RNA, 69 nt
Filed under: Batocera lineolata
Lineage: Eukaryota; Metazoa; Arthropoda; Insecta; Coleoptera; Cerambycidae
Description: tRNA-Trp
Source: RNAcentral